Molecule: ribosomal RNA, 398 nt
Filed under: uncultured bacterium
Lineage: Bacteria
Description: bacterial SSU rRNA
Rfam family: Bacterial small subunit ribosomal RNA
Source: RNAcentral
GGAAUCUUAGACAAUGGGCGCAAGCCUGAUCUAGCCAUGCCGCGUGAGCGAUGAAGGCCUUAGGGUUGUAAGGCUCUUUCACCGGGGAAGAUAAUGACGGUACCCGGAGAAGAAGCCCCGGCUAACUCCGUGCCAGCAGCCGCGGUAAUACGGAGGGGGCUAGCGUUGUUCGGAAUUACUGGGCGUAAAGCGCGCGUAGGCGGCUUUGUAAGUUAGAGGUGAAAGCCCGGAGCUUAACUCCGGAACUGCCUUUAAGACUGCAUCGCUAGAAUCGUGGAGAGGUGAGUGGAAUUCCGAGUGUAGAGGUGAAAUUCGUAGAUAUUCGGAAGAACACCAGUGGCGAAGGCGACUCACUGGACACGUAUUGACGCUGAGGUGCGAAAGCGUGGGGAGCAAAC